RNAcentral lists this unclassified non-coding RNA (391 nucleotides) under soil metagenome. Its description in RNAcentral is "partial contains 5.8S ribosomal RNA, internal transcribed spacer 2, and large subunit ribosomal RNA". The stretch from base 1 to 122 matches the Rfam family "5.8S ribosomal RNA", at positions 35 to 154 of the family's 154-position model. The record is from RNAcentral.
GAUGAAGAACGCAGCGAAAUGCGAUACUUGGUGUGAAUUGCAGAAUCCCGUGAACCAUCGAGUCUUUGAACGCAAGUUGCGCCCGAAGCCACUAGGCCGAGGGCACGCCUGCCUGGGCGUCACACGCCGUUGCCCCCCCAUCUACUCCUUCGGGAUUGCGGGGGGGCGGAUGAUGGCCUCCCGUGCGCCUAGCCGCGCGGUUGGCAUAAAUACCAAGUCCUCGGCGACGCACGCCACGACAUUCGGUGGUUGCGAAACCUCGGUUGCCCGUCGUGUGCGUUCGUCGCGCAUCGAGGGCUCGAAAAAAUGCUCGGCUCCGGCUGGGCUUUCAACGCGACCCCAGGUCAGGCGGGGUUACCCGCUGAAUUUAAGCAUAUCAAUAAGCGGAGGA